Molecule: ribosomal RNA, 444 nt
Filed under: uncultured bacterium
Lineage: Bacteria
Description: partial 16S ribosomal RNA
Rfam family: Bacterial small subunit ribosomal RNA
Source: RNAcentral
GUGAGGAAUAUUGGUCAAUGGACGGAAGUCUGAACCAGCCAUGCCGCGUGCAGGAAUAAGGUCCUAUGGAUUGUAAACUGCUUUUAUUCGGGAAUAAACCUCUUUACGUGUAGGGAGCUGAAGGUACCGAAGGAAUAAGCACCGGCUAACUCCGUGCCAGCAGCCGCGGUAAUACGGAGGGUGCAAGCGUUAUCCGGAAUCAUUGGGUUUAAAGGGUCCGCAGGCGGGCUAUCAAGUCAGAGGUGAAAUCCCACAGCUUAACUGUGGAACUGCCUUUGAAACUGAUGGUCUUGAAUUAAGUGGGCGUUGGCGGAAUAUGACAUGUAGCGGUGAAAUGCAUAGAUAUGUCAUGGAACACCGAAAGCGAAGGCAGCUAACGAUACUUAUAUUGACGCUCAUGGACGAAAGCGUGGGUAGCGAACAGGAUUAGAACCCGUGUAGUCC